RNAcentral lists this ribosomal RNA (465 nucleotides) under Vreelandella stevensii. RNAcentral's name for it is "partial 16S ribosomal RNA". It matches the Rfam family "Bacterial small subunit ribosomal RNA", at positions 338 to 795 of the family's 1533-position model. Lineage: Bacteria; Pseudomonadati; Pseudomonadota; Gammaproteobacteria; Oceanospirillales; Halomonadaceae. The record is from RNAcentral.
CCUACGGGCGGCUGCAGUGGGGAAUAUUGGACAAUGGGGGGAACCCUGAUCCAGCCAUGCCGCGUGUGUGAAGAAGGCCCUCGGGUUGUAAAGCACUUUCAGUGAGGAAGAACGCCUGGUGGUUAAUACCCAUCAGGAAAGACAUCACUCACAGAAGAAGCACCGGCUAACUCCGUGCCAGCAGCCGCGGUAAUACGGAGGGUGCGAGCGUUAAUCGGAAUUACUGGGCGUAAAGCGUGCGUAGGUGGCUUGAUAAGCCGGUUGUGAAAGCCCCGGGCUCAACCUGGGAACGGCAUCCGGAACUGUCAAGCUAGAGUGCAGGAGAGGAAGGUAGAAUUCCCGGUGUAGCGGUGAAAUGCGUAGAGAUCGGGAGGAAUACCAGUGGCGAAGGCGGCCUUCUGGACUGACACUGACACUGAGGUGCGAAAGCGUGGGUAGCAAACAGGAUUAGAUACCCUAGUAGUC